AGGCAGCCUUCUUGCCACGAUUUCUUAAUGGCAUGAAAGGUGUUAAACUGCUCGUACAUAAAAUUCUUUUGCUCUUCAGACUUGCAGAAAUUAAUUUGAAGCUGGUCUAGUAAGCUCAAGUACAUU
This is a non-coding RNA of Phaseolus vulgaris (common bean), 126 nucleotides long. NCBI's taxonomy places the organism in Eukaryota, Viridiplantae, Streptophyta, Magnoliopsida, Fabales, Fabaceae. The record is from Rfam.